RNAcentral lists this non-coding RNA (101 nucleotides) under Limosilactobacillus fermentum. RNAcentral's name for it is "Lactobacillus fermentum TPP sequence". It matches the Rfam family "TPP riboswitch aptamer (THI element)". Rfam says of the family: Vitamin B(1) in its active form thiamin pyrophosphate (TPP) is an essential coenzyme that is synthesised by coupling of pyrimidine and thiazole moieties in bacteria. The previously detected thiamin-regulatory element, thi box was extended, resulting in a new, highly conserved RNA secondary structure, the THI element, which is widely distributed in eubacteria and also occurs in some archaea. Lineage: Bacteria; Bacillati; Bacillota; Bacilli; Lactobacillales; Lactobacillaceae. The record is from Rfam by way of RNAcentral.
AAUAGUUGCUAGGGGUGUCGGACCACCGACUGAGACGCCAAUUGGCGGACCCUUUGAACCUGGGAGUUUGGACUCGCGGAGGGAAGCAACGGUCGGCGAAA